This 467-nucleotide ribosomal RNA is filed under the name uncultured bacterium. Its description in RNAcentral is "bacterial SSU rRNA". It matches the Rfam family "Bacterial small subunit ribosomal RNA", at positions 28 to 507 of the family's 1533-position model. The record is from RNAcentral.
GACGAACGCUGGCGGCACGCUUAACACAUGCAAGUCGAACGGAGAUAUUUAGGUUUACUUAGAUAUCUUAGUGGCGGACGGGUGAGUAACACGUGAGCAACCUGCCUUUGAGAGAGGGAUAGCUUCGGGAAACUGAUGGUAAUACCUCAUAACGUACAUUUGCCGCAUGACAGAUGUACCAAAGAUUUAUCGGUAGAGGGUGGGCUCGCGUCUGAUUAGAUAGUUGGCGGGGUAACGGCCCACCAAGUCGACGAUGGGUAGCCGACCUGAGAGGGUGAUCGGCCACACUGGGACUGAGACACGGCCCAGACUCCUACGGGAGGCAGCAGUGGGGAAUAUUGGGCAAUGGGCGCAAGCCUUACCCAGCAACGCCGCGUGAGGGAAGAAGGUUUUCGGAUUGUAAACCUCUGUCCUGGGGGGCGAAGAAAGUGACGGUACCCCGGGAGGAAGCCCCGGCUAACUACGUG